Oncorhynchus tshawytscha (Chinook salmon) is the source of this 353-nucleotide long non-coding RNA. NCBI's taxonomy places the organism in Eukaryota, Metazoa, Chordata, Actinopteri, Salmoniformes, Salmonidae. The record is from Ensembl.
GGGGAGGUAGAGGGUUAGAGGGUUAGAGGGAGGAAGAGGGGUUAGGGGAGGUAGAGGGUUAGGGGGAGGUAGAGGGUUAGGAGGAGGUAGAGGUAUUAGGCAGAGGUAGAUAGAGGGAGGUAGAGAGUUAGAGGGAGGUAGAGAGUAAGAGGGAGGAAGAGGUUUAGGAGGAGGUAGAGGGUUAGAGGGAGGUAGAGGGUUAGAGGGAGGUAGAGAGUAAGAGGGUUAGAGGGAGGUAGAGAGUAAGAGGGUUAGAGGGAGGUAGAGAGUAAGAGGGUUAGAGGGAGGUAGAGGGUUAGAGGGAGGUAGAGGGUUAGAGGGAGGUAGAGAGUAAGAGGGUUAGAGGGAGGUAG